Molecule: long non-coding RNA, 707 nt
Organism: Pongo pygmaeus (Bornean orangutan)
Lineage: Eukaryota; Metazoa; Chordata; Mammalia; Primates; Hominidae
Exons: 3
Source: RefSeq, a predicted model, not a curated record
AGUAUUGGGUGUUGCGCGGACGUGCCGCAGCAUCCCCGCCUGGGAAGGCGCCGGAAGAGCCCUCUGCGCUUGCGCAGGUAGCGGGCAGGAGCGGCCCCAGCGCUCGGCGCAUCGGCUCUGGUUCGAGGGCGACACCUUAAGGCCGGCGGGAGCGAGUCUCGUGGCCGCAGAACAUGCGCGAGCCUCUUUUGUUCUGGAACGGGCCCCAGAAGCGGAGCUGCGGAGCUGGGGCCUCACCGUGUCAUGGCCCACCCCCUCAGCUGAUAGGAAGAGAUGGGGUUUCGCCAUGUUGCCCUGGCUGGUCUGGAACUCCUGAGCGCAGCAGAUCCACCUGCCUCAGCCUCCCAAAAUCUGUCCCAUGAUGAAUCUGGGUUGCCCCUGUGUGAGCCCCUUGAACCAACAGAUUGUGGCAGAGUGACAUUGCACCAGUCUGAGACCUACACCUUAAGGAUGCCUGGCAGCUCCUGCUUUUGUGUUCCUCGGAGUCAUGAGCCACGAAGUCAAGCUACCCUGCUGGAGAGACCAGCUGAAGCAGCCUCUUGAAGAGGACCUGAGACUUAAGGCUCAGCCAUCCCAGACUCUGAGUUAAACCUCCAGAUGAGUCCAACCCCACCUGCUAUCUGACUACAGCUACAUAGAUGACAAACCACCUAGGUGAUUCCAGUCAACCCACACAACUGUAAAAGAUAAUAAAACAGUUAAGUCAC